AAUUUCUCAAGCUUGGAUGGCUUUUUUGUCCGUCCUUAGCCUUGGUUGUUGGGCUUUGCCGUGUCCUUCAUUGGGUACGGCUGGCCUUAAAAGCAUUAGCUGAUCCUCAUAUGGCACUGGUUCUACUCAGCGUGAUAAUAGUCUGAUCGCUGAGGACAUCUCUUGGGAUGGCCAGUUCUCAUUUGGGGGAUCGCUUCUAAACUUGGUUUAACAGAUUGUUCAAUCUGUUUCCACUUUUCAG
This 241-nucleotide unclassified non-coding RNA is filed under the name uncultured Clavulina. RNAcentral describes it as "sequence contains ITS2". The record is from RNAcentral. Lineage: Eukaryota; Fungi; Basidiomycota; Agaricomycetes; Cantharellales; Hydnaceae.